GAAUCUUCCACUAAUGCGCGAAAGCGUGAUGGAGCGACGCCGCGUGGGCGAUGAAGGCCUUCGGGUUGUAAAGCCCUGUUGGAUGGGCGUAAUCCCUCGGGAUGAAUACUCCUCGAGGUUGAACUCCCAUCGGAGGACGCACCGGCUAAACUCGUGCCAGCAGCCGCGGUAAUACGAGUGGUGCGAGCGUUGUUCGGAAUUACUGGGCAUAAAGAGCACGUAGGCGGUCUGGUAAGUCUGCUGUGAAAUCCCCCGGCUCAACCGGGGAACUGCAGUUGAUACUGCCGGGCUAGAGUGCGGGAGGGGAGAGCGGAAUUCCUGGUGGAGCGGUGAUAUGCGUAGAUAUCAGGAGGAACGCCGGAGGCGAAAGCGGCUCUCUGGUCCGCAACUGACGCUGAGGUGCGAAAGCUAGGGGAGCGAACAGG
Molecule: ribosomal RNA, 425 nt
Filed under: uncultured bacterium
Lineage: Bacteria
Description: bacterial SSU rRNA
Rfam family: Bacterial small subunit ribosomal RNA
Source: RNAcentral